This 427-nucleotide ribosomal RNA is filed under the name uncultured bacterium. RNAcentral describes it as "bacterial SSU rRNA". It matches the Rfam family "Bacterial small subunit ribosomal RNA", at positions 355 to 775 of the family's 1533-position model. The record is from RNAcentral.
UGGGGAAUAUUGGACAAUGGGCGAAAGCCUGAUCCAGCGACGCCGCGUGUCGGAAGGAGUCCUUCGGGAUGUAAACGACUUUUGGUGGAGACGAAUAAGCAGCUCAGGGAAUGGGGCUGUGAUGACGGUAUCCAUGGAAUAAGCCCCGGCUAACUACGUGCCAGCAGCCGCGGUAAGACGUAGGGGCAAGCGUUACCCGGAAUUACUGGGCGUAAAGGGAGCGUAGGCGGGAGGUCAAGUCCGGUGUGAAAGACCCUGGCUCAGCCAGGGAUGAGGGCUGGAAACUGACAAUCUUGAGUACAGCAGAGGAAGAGGGAAUUACCGGUGUAGGGGUGAAAUCCGUAGAGACCGGUAAGAAGGCCAGUGGCGAAGGCGCUUUUCUGGGCUGUUACUGACGCUAAGGCUCGAAAGCCAGGGGAGCAAACCG